CGAAUCAAUUCACAAUUUAUUUUGUAUAUUAAUUAGAUUCCGCGCUCAUCAGUACGUACUCACUGGCGAGAUCGAGAAAAUGUAUCGGCAAUUCCUCGUACGACCAGAGGAUCGGAAAUAUCAAAGGAUAUUAUGGCGCAGCGCGAGUGGAGAAACAGAAACAUAUGAGCUUAACACCGUAAUACUCUUAUCAUAGAAAUAGAAGCAGUCCUCAAUUCCCGCCCGCUAACUCCUAUCUCCACCGAUCCAAAUGAUCUCCUAGCCCUCACUCCCGGACAUUUCCUCAUUGGCGAUUCAUUAAUGUGCUUACGUGAUCGAGAUUUCAGAGACAUUCCAUCGAACCGACUCUCCAAAUGGCAGCAUAUCCAACAGCUUAAACAACAUUUUUGGAACCGCUGGCAUAAGGAGUAUUUGAACGAGCUAACCAACCGCAAUAAAUGGAGCAAGGGUGGACACAGCAUCCAAAAGGGCACAAUCGUCAUCCUCAGAGAGGACAACGUUCCCUCCAUGCAUUGGCCUCUGGGCCGAGUUAUCAAGGUUCAUUCAGGCGCCGAUGGUGUCAUCCGGACAGCUACAGUUCAGACGGCAAAGAGCAUUUUGGAUCGGGGCGUCAAAAGGCUUGUCCCACUGCCAAUUCAACCCGAUCUCGAGAAACCCGAACAACUAGCCACCGAGCCGAAAUAAGAUGGGAACUUCAACCACACCUCGCUAGUUUGAUCGGUACCCUCUCAACGGGGGGAGAAUGUUACGCCAUGCGGCUUACCAUAGGUCAUAUUCUUAACUAUCGAUCGCGGCACUAUAAUGUCGCAGACGGAUCGUCGCGUCUGCCCGGCAAACAAACAUUGUAGUGGCAAGCGCAUGGUUCAUUAAGCAGGGCGACUUCCAGAAACGUCGACUCGUGGCCCGUAUUUUACCUCGCAUAAAAGAAUGUGGCGUGAUCCGAACGUAGUGGGGGUCGCCUUCCAGAAAAAACGAAAAAAAUCGAAAGGCGUUCAGAACUUUUCGAGAAGUCGAACCGUCAACACAUGUGGGCAAUCCGGUGGACUUGAUCGGCUUUUUACUUCGAAAGUUGAGUAAUCGGUGUCGCUUUCUUACGCAUCUUUGAACUGUAUAAAUGUUUUAAAAUUGUUUGAUCCAGAAUGUACCACACCGGACAAUCAAGAAGGCAGGUGCCUUGACUACAGAAAAUGUAAACCUCUGCAAGAAAUAUGGCAGAUACAGUACCGUACAGCCACCGAUUUUUAUAGACGAUCAGUGUGCAGAUACCAGGUCAAUGUUACGAUCGUUUGCUGUCCGAACGAUCCAAACAAAGAGAAGAGAGAAAUUUUAAUAAAAACUGUGUAUAAGUAUAAGGCUUUGCGACCACCAUACUGUGGUUUUAGCAACGUCUCUCAUACCAGGGUGGUCGAUGGUAAACCAGCUGAACUUGGAAGAGUAUCUUUUUGCUUGAAAUAAAAAAUUGAUAUAGGAGUAAUAAUAUGGAUAGAGAUCAAAAACUGUUAGGGCAGAAAUUACACGUUUGAACUUUAUAGUUCAGUAUAGUUCAAAUAGAAAUUAUAUAGAAUUAUUUAAUAAUUUGUAUUCCACUGGAAUAAAAAUUUAAUUUCUGUCUUUAUCAAAUCUCUAUUUCAGAGUAUUUGUACGUAUGUACUUAUCGUCUGCUGUAUGAUCGAAUAUCGAAUAGGUAAUAAUCGUUGUUACUCGUUAUGUGAGAAAAAAUUAUGUAUAUUCACAACUAUGACUAUUGCAUUUUAGGCGCUUGGCCAUGGAUCGCUGCAUUAGGUUUUCGUAAUCCCCGAAACCCAGACAAACCACUAUGGAAGUGCGGAGGUUCCCUGAUAUCGGCUAGGCAUGUUUUAACCGCAGCACAUUGUGCACAUAUGGAUGGAAUAGAAAACAUACACAAUCAUAAUAUUGCCAUUCUUAGAUAGGUGGAGGAGGUGCCAUUUUCGAGUAAGUCCUCAAAUAUAUAUAUAUAUGCUAUUGAGUAUUACUGAAGUAUCAUAUCCUGAAAUUUCUUACUGUACACAUAUAUUGUGUCAUAAAGCGUGUACAAUUCUUUCUCAUACUUUUGGUCAUUCGUUUCCUGCAUUUUCAUUUAUUUUUUUAUUUUUCAGGGUACGUAUAUCCCAUUUGUACGAAAGAGCAACUUCGUCGGCUAUAACCCCCUUGUUGCUGGAUGGGGAGCGUUAAGAUAUAGCAAGUGAUAUCAAUUUUAUAAUAAAAUUAAACAGUUCCAGUCUUAAAUAUCUUUCUCAUUUUCUUCGUAGGACGACCACGACCUAAUGCAUUAAUGGAAGUACAAAUGCCAGUGAUUAAGAACGCCGAAUGCAAAAUAGCUUAUUCCAAAUUUCCUAAUGCACCUGAUAUCACUGAUGGUAUAAUAUGCGCCGAACAUGCUCAGGGUGGAGAGGAUUCUUGUACGGUAAUUAAGUUACAGAGUUACUACAAACUAUACGGUAUCUGAAGACACGUCAAUUCAAAUUAACAUCAAAUCGACGUCUUAAACAUUAAAAAUAAUAGAUAAACACAAUUUAAUAGUUUUGCCCACUUCUCACACCUCGUUAUGGUAUUUAAUCUAAUUUCCUUCUAAUCUUAGUUUUGCUCAAAAUACAUAUAACAUGUACGUUAUAAAUUGGAGUAUUUCAAUACACAAAUCAAUAGAAGAUUAUUACUGUAUAUAAGUAUAAUUUCAAUGCAAUUCGAUCGAUAUAUUUCAGUAUCUUUGAUUAAAAAUUUAACGAUCCUUUCAGGCUGACCGUGGCGGACCACUGCUGAUACAACAUGAAUUAACCUCGUAUUUAAUAGGUAUUGUGUCUUAUGCUUAUAAGUGUGGCACAGCUGGGUAUCCCAGCGUUUACACUAGGGUCACAUCGUACCUUGACUUCAUUCUCCAAGCGAUGCAAUAAUAUGAUAUUACUGUUCCAUAAAUAUCAUUGUGUAAAAAACGUAAAGUUGGAUUUUCUUAUUGUGGAGAUAAGAAACAGCUCAAAUUUACAUUGUUUUGUACGUUACAAAUUAUAGGCUUAAAAUGUACGAAAUGUAACUUUGAAACGACACUAAUUUUUUACGCACGAUAAACCUCCAUGACUUAGAUUAUAGAUUCCUAUACGACUCUCAGUAAAAAUUUAUCCGCACUCCAGAUAGUUAAAACUUCUGUCGACCGUAUUGAUCCAUCUGCACUCUUCGUAUGACGUCAAUAUCUGUUCAGUGCUGCUGCGCAGGUUUCUUUGUGUUACGUCAAUUCGUUUGUGACCGUUGCGCGAGUAAUGGCGCUUUGCAAUGGUGAU
RNA transcript from Bombus huntii, 3290 nucleotides. It is a transcript of the gene named venom serine protease Bi-VSP-like, with no coding region annotated. The record is from RefSeq and is a predicted model, not a curated record. NCBI's taxonomy places the organism in Eukaryota, Metazoa, Arthropoda, Insecta, Hymenoptera, Apidae. The transcript is spliced from 5 exons.